Molecule: small nuclear RNA, 106 nt
Organism: Chlorocebus sabaeus (green monkey)
Lineage: Eukaryota; Metazoa; Chordata; Mammalia; Primates; Cercopithecidae
Gene: U5
Rfam family: U5 spliceosomal RNA
About the family: U5 RNA is a component of both types of known spliceosome. The precise function of this molecule is unknown, though it is known that the 5' loop is required for splice site selection and p220 binding, and that both the 3' stem-loop and the Sm site are important for Sm protein binding and cap methylation.
Source: Ensembl
AUACUCCGGUUUCAGAUCACAUAACUCUUUCGCCUUUUACUAAAGAUUUCUAUGGAUAGGAACAGCUCUGAGUUUUUAAAACUGUGAGACCUUGCAUUGGCAGGGC